GGCGAUAUUAAAUUUGGGUGGUUAACUGAAGUCAGAAACAACUAUAAAUUGGCUCAGGAACUGAACUCCCUCAUAACACAUACUAUAUGAUAUUCCACUCAAUUUCUUGAAUGUUGCACUUGAUUUCACUUGGGUCAGGUAACUGGGUGGGAAAUUAGCAUUUUUGAAGGCAGCUGCUUGUUGAUAUAUGAUGUGGUUCAGCCUCAGUAGAUAGCA
This 216-nucleotide unclassified non-coding RNA is filed under the name Hevea brasiliensis (rubber tree). The record is from RNAcentral. Lineage: Eukaryota; Viridiplantae; Streptophyta; Magnoliopsida; Malpighiales; Euphorbiaceae.